RNAcentral lists this ribosomal RNA (389 nucleotides) under uncultured bacterium. Its description in RNAcentral is "bacterial SSU rRNA". It matches the Rfam family "Bacterial small subunit ribosomal RNA", at positions 28 to 417 of the family's 1533-position model. The record is from RNAcentral.
GACGAACGCUGGCGGCGUGCUUAACACAUGCAAGUCGAGCGGUAAGGCCCUUUCGGGGGUACACGAGCGGCGAACGGGUGAGUAACACGUGGGUGACCUGCCCUCAGCUCUGGGAUAAGCCUGGGAAACCGGGUCUAAUACCGGAUACGACUCCAUGACGCAUGUUGGUGGGGUGGAAAGCCUUGUGCGGCUGAGGAUGGGCCCGCGGCCUAUCAGCUUGUUGGUGGGGUGAUGGCCACCAAGGCGACGACGGGUAGCCGGCCUGAGAGGGCGACCGGCCACACUGGGACUGAGACACGGCCCAGACUCCUACGGGAGGCAGCAGGUGGGGAAUCUUGCGCAAUGGGCGAAAGCCUGACGCAGCGACGCCGCGUGAGGGAUGACGGCCU